GCUUCUCUCCAGUCACCUGCCAACUACUGACAUCUAAUAGGCAAGUACUGAAGUCCGAGUUCAGACCACCUGCUUCCCUUGGUGGAGCCAGUGAACUGCAGGAAUAUAAGAACCAAGAGUUUCUGGGGUCAAGACCAGUAGGGGACCUGCCCCAGAACAGGCCAGCUUGAGAGCUGAGGAGCCCAUCGUUGUUGUCGGGGUUGUCAAGGUCAUCAGGAUCAGCCCUCGACUUGCUUGGGGCCUUGUCACCUCUCAUCAUGUCAUCUGUUCCUGGGUGGGAAAAGUGAUGGGUGCCAGAGCUGGCUGCUUAAGCAUCCUCCUUCUCCAAGGGAAGCCACAGGAAGCUGCCAGAUCCAAGACUGAAGGAGUGGCCAGUGCUCAGAUCAUCUCCCAAGGUCUGGUCCUGAAGGGUGAACAGGAAGGUGACAGGGGCUCCAGGCCACAGGGGCAUGUGAUCAAUGGCUCAGAGCAGUGACAGGCAGCACCAACCGAGUGCUCAGGACCUGAGAUUCCUGGAGCAGGAUGCAGAGAGAACAUGACCCAGCCACAGCAGCCUCAGAAUUCCCUGCAGGGAUGAGAUGCUGUGAGACCAUGGCACCUUGCCCUGCUAGCCACCCAUUCCCCUGGAGGAGCGGUGAUGGCUCCAGUCACCUUUCCAGGAAGAGCGCUGUGAAGCAGGCUACAUAGCAGAGAACUGCGAUGUCUUAGGUCCCAACAAACCGUUCCCCUGUCCUUAUUAAAGCUUUCUGGAUGGCAA
This 757-nucleotide long non-coding RNA is filed under the name Mus musculus (house mouse). RNAcentral describes it as "predicted gene, 49472". Lineage: Eukaryota; Metazoa; Chordata; Mammalia; Rodentia; Muridae. The record is from RNAcentral.